UAGGGAAUCUUCCGCAAUGGACGCAAGUCUGACGGAGCAACGCCGCGUGUGUGAAGAAGGUUUUCGGAUCGUAAAGCACUGUUGUUAGAGAAGAACGGCUACUAGAGGAAAUGCUAGUAGAUUGACGGUAUCUAACCAGAAAGCCACGGCUAACUACGUGCCAGCAGCCGCGGUAAUACGUAGGUGGCAAGCGUUGUCCGGAUUUAUUGGGCGUAAAGGGAGCGCAGGUGGUUUCUUAAGUCUGAUGUGAAAGCCCACGGCUUAACCGUGGAGGGUCAUUGGAAACUGGGGAACUUGAGUGCAGAAGAGGAAAGCGGAAUUCCAUGUGUAGCGGUGAAAUGCGUAGAUAUAUGGAGGAACACCAGUGGCGAAAGCGGCUUUCUGGUCUGUAACUGACACUGAGGCUCGAAAGCGUGGGGAGCGAACAGGAUUAGAUACCCUGGUAGUCCACGCCGUAAACGAUGAGUGCUAAGUGUUGGAGGGUUUUCACCCUUCAGUGCUGGCGUUAACGCAAUAAGCACUCCGCCUGGGGAGUACGACCGCAAGGUUGA
RNAcentral lists this ribosomal RNA (551 nucleotides) under uncultured compost bacterium. RNAcentral's name for it is "bacterial SSU rRNA". It matches the Rfam family "Bacterial small subunit ribosomal RNA", at positions 355 to 897 of the family's 1533-position model. The record is from RNAcentral.